Homo sapiens (human) is the source of this 592-nucleotide long non-coding RNA. The record is from Ensembl. Lineage: Eukaryota; Metazoa; Chordata; Mammalia; Primates; Hominidae.
AAUGGAUUGUGUAUGGGCGUGAGAGUAAAACUUUACAAGGUCGAGAGUCAUACAAAAGCCAAAGCCGCAUUAAAGCCAGUCCCAGCCAGGCUUAAGGAGAGCUGGAAUGGAGAGGAUUCUCAUCUAACAUCUGGGUUGCAGUUGUAUGUUAACAUGGACUUCCUAGGAAGUAACAUAUCAAACAAAAGGGAAAGUGAUCAACCAGCAGCAGGUACCAGCCACAGUUAACUGCACCUGCUAGGAGCUCUGAAAGACUUUUUUUUUUUUUAAACGAAUAAAGAAAUUCUCAUUUCACUCUCCUCCACACUGGACUCGCUGAAGAAAGAGUAGCUGGCUGGAGGAAGCUAUCCAGAGGGAAGCAGCACAGCAUCUAUGCACAGACAUAGCAAAUAAGAGCAAGUGAACCACGCCACACUUACGACUAUGUCAACAAAGGAAUAGAAGCAAAGGAAAAGACUGACAUAGCUUAGACUGGGAAUCCUUCUAGAAAGUAAGAAAGAAUUCAGAGAGAUUCCUCUCUCUAGUCUUGAAGAAAUGAAGGUCUUCAAAAUGAAGAUUGAAGAAAUAUAGAAUAUCUAAAAAAAAAGAAAGA